AGAGUUUGAUUAUGGCUCAGAUUGAACGCUGGCGGCAGGCCUAACACAUGCAAGUCGAACGGUAACAGGAAGCAGCUUGCUGCUUUGCUGACGAGUGGCGGACGGGUGAGUAAUGUCUGGGAAACUGCCUGAUGGAGGGGGAUAACUACUGGAAACGGUAGCUAAUACCGCAUAACGUCGCAAGACCAAAGAGGGGGACCUUAGGGCCUCUUGCCAUCGGAUGUGCCCAGAUGGGAUUAGCUAGUAGGUGGGGUAACGGCUCACCUAGGCGACGAUCCCUAGCUGGUCUGAGAGGAUGACCAGCCACACUGGAACUGAGACACGGUCCAGACUCCUACGGGAGGCAGCAGUGGGGAAUAUUGCACAAUGGGCGCAAGCCUGAUGCAGCCAUGCCGCGUGUAUGAAGAAGGCCUUCGGGUUGUAAAGUACUUUCAGCGGGGAGGAAGGGAGUAAAGUUAAUACCUUUGCUCAUUGACGUUACCCGCAGAAGAAGCACCGGCUAACUCCGUGCCAGCAGCCGCGGUAACACGGAGGGUGCAAGCGUUAAUCGGAAUUACUGGGCGUAAAGCGCACGCAGGCGGUUUGUUAAGUCAGAUGUGAAAUCCCCGGGCUCAACCUGGGAACUGCAUCUGAUACUGGCAAGCUUGAGUCUCGUAGAGGGGGGUAGAAUUCCAGGUGUAGCGGUGAAAUGCGUAGAGAUCUGGAGGAAUACCGGUGGCGAAGGCGGCCCCCUGGACGAAGACUGACGCUCAGGUGCGAAAGCGUGGGGAGCAAACAGGAUUAGAUACCCUGGUAGUCCACGCCGUAAACGAUGUCGACUUGGAGGUUGUGCCCUUGAGGCGUGGCUUCCGGAGCUAACGCGUUAAGUCGACCGCCUGGGGAGUACGGCCGCAAGGUUAAAACUCAAAUGAAUUGACGGGGGCCCGCACAAGCGGUGGAGCAUGUGGUUUAAUUCGAUGCAACGCGAAGAACCUUACCUGGUCUUGACAUCCACGGAAGUUUUCAGAGAUGAGAAUGUGCCUUCGGGAACCGUGAGACAGGUGCUGCAUGGCUGUCGUCAGCUCGUGUUGUGAAAUGUUGGGUUAAGUCCCGCAACGAGCGCAACCCUUAUCCUUUGUUGCCAGCGGUCCGGCCGGGAACUCAAAGGAGACUGCCAGUGAUAAACUGGAGGAAGGUGGGGAUGACGUCAAGUCAUCAUGGCCCUUACGACCAGGGCUACACACGUGCUACAAUGGCGCAUACAAAGAGAAGCGACCUCGCGAGAGCAAGCGGACCUCAUAAGUGCGUCGUAGUCCGGAUUGGAGUCUGCAACUCGACUCCAAGAAGUCGGAAUCGCUAGUAAUCGUGGAUCAGAAUGCCACGGUGAAUACGUUCCCGGGCCUUGUACACACCGCCCGUCACACCAUGGGAGUGGGUUGCAAAAGAAGUAGGUAGCUUAACCUUCGGGAGGGCGCUUACCACUUUGUGAUUCAUGACUGGGGAGAAGUCGUAACAAGGU
RNAcentral lists this ribosomal RNA (1498 nucleotides) under uncultured bacterium. Its description in RNAcentral is "bacterial SSU rRNA". It matches the Rfam family "Bacterial small subunit ribosomal RNA". The record is from RNAcentral.